CAAUAGCGUAUAUUAAAGUUGUUGCAGUUAAAAAGCUCGUAGUUGGAUUUCUGGUAGGAGCGACCGUGCCGAACUUGAUUGUUCGAGUAUUGUGUUGUCUUCAGCCAUCCUCGUGGAGAACUUUUCUAACAUUAACUUGUUGGGAUUGGGACCCGCGUCGUUUACUGUGAAAAAAUUAGAGUGGUUAAAGCAGGCAUUAGCUUGAAUACAUUAGCAUGGAAUAAUAAGAUAGGACUUUGGUACUAUUUUGUUGGUUUGCAUACCAAAUUAAUGAUCAACAGGAACAGUUUGAGGAUAUUCGUAUGAACAUGUCAGAGGUGAAAUUCUUGGAUUUUGAUCAGACGAACUACUGCGAAAGCAUUUAUCAAGGAUGUUUUCAUUAA
RNAcentral lists this ribosomal RNA (383 nucleotides) under uncultured eukaryote. Its description in RNAcentral is "partial 18S ribosomal RNA". It matches the Rfam family "Eukaryotic small subunit ribosomal RNA", at positions 592 to 976 of the family's 1831-position model. The record is from RNAcentral.